GAUGAACGCUGGCGGCGUGCUUAACACAUGCAAGUCGAACGGUGAAGGCGGAGCUUGCUCUGCUGGAUCAGUGGCGAACGGGUGAGUAACACGUGAGCAAUCUGCCCCUGACUCUGGGUUAGGCGCUGGAAAGGGGGCUUAAUCCGGAAACGAACCGGCAAAGCAAUUUUCAGCAGUGGAAAGAAAUUCCGGUCGGGGAUGAGCUCGCGGCCUAUCAGCUUUUUGGUGAGGUAAUGGCUCACCAAGGCGUCGACGGGUAGCCGGCCUGAGAGGGUGACCGGCCACACUGGGACUGAGACACGGCCCAGACUCCUACGGGAGGCAGCAGUGGGGAAUAUUGCACAAUGGGCGAAAGCCUGAUGCAGCAACGCCGCGUGAGGGACGACGGCCUUCGGGUUGUAAACCUCUUUUAGCAGGGAAGAAGCGAAAGUGACGGUACCUGCAGAAAAAGCGCCGGCUAACUACGUG
RNAcentral lists this ribosomal RNA (468 nucleotides) under uncultured bacterium. RNAcentral describes it as "partial 16S ribosomal RNA". It matches the Rfam family "Bacterial small subunit ribosomal RNA", at positions 28 to 507 of the family's 1533-position model. The record is from RNAcentral.